RNAcentral lists this ribosomal RNA (601 nucleotides) under uncultured eukaryote. RNAcentral describes it as "bacterial SSU rRNA". It matches the Rfam family "Eukaryotic small subunit ribosomal RNA", at positions 604 to 1133 of the family's 1831-position model. The record is from RNAcentral.
UAUGUGUUGCUGCAGUUGAAAGCUCGUAGUUGGGAGUUGAAUAGUUUGGUGGGUGGUUCGGGUUUGGGAUUCUGUCCCUGCCUGUUAAAUUCACUCUGUGUUGCCCCCACCACUUCUACUUUUUUGUUCAUGUAAGUUGAGACUCCUCAAUCUACAUUUGAACGUGUUACUUUGAGUAAAUCUGAGUGUUCAAAGCAGACGGAAAUCAUCCGUCUUGAAAGUUGUAGCAUGGAAUAACGUGAUAGGACUCCGGUGGCCCUUUUCAGUUGGUCUAAGCCGUUCCGGAGUAAUGACUAAGAGGGACAGUCGGGGGCACUCGUACUUCCUUGUCAGAGGUGAAAUUCUUGGAUUUAGGAAAGACGAACCACUGCGAAAGCAUUUGCCAAGGAUGUUUUCAUUAAUCAAGAACGAAAGUUGGGGGCUCGAAGAUGAUCAGAGACCGUUGUAGUCCUAUUGACUGUAAACGAUGCCGACUGGGGAUCUGGGGUGUUAGUUAAUUGGCGUAUGGGAGUAGGGGGGUCCACCCUUCCUACCCCAAUCGCCCUCCCAGGCACCCUCCGAGAAAUCAAAGUGUAUGGGUUCCGGGGGGAGUAUGGUCGCA